GAUGAACGCUGGCGGCGUGCCUAAUACAUGCAAGUCGAGCGAACAGACGAGGAGCUUGCUCCUCUGACGUUAGCGGAGGACGGGUGAGAAACACGUGGAUCACCUCCCUAUAUGUCUGGUAUAAUUUCGGGAAACCGGAGCAAAUCCCGGAUAAUCUAUUGAACCGCAUGGUUCAUUAGUGAAUGACGGUUUUUCUGUCACUUAUCGAUGGUUCCGGGCCGCAUUAGCUAGUUGGGAAGGUAACGGCUUAUCACGGCUACGAUGCGUGGCCGACCGCAGAGAGUGAUCGGCGGCAUUGGAACGUAGACACGGUCCUGACUCCUGCGGGAGGCAGCAGUAGGGAAUCUUCGGCAGUGGGCGAAAGUCUUACGGAGCAACGCGACGUGUGUGAUGAAGGCCUUCCGAUCGUAAAGCCCUGCUAUUAGUUAAGAACAAAUGUGGAAUUAGCCAUGGACUUCGUGACGGUACCGAAUCAGAAAGCCACGGCUAACUACGUG
This 497-nucleotide ribosomal RNA is filed under the name uncultured bacterium. RNAcentral's name for it is "partial 16S ribosomal RNA". It matches the Rfam family "Bacterial small subunit ribosomal RNA", at positions 28 to 507 of the family's 1533-position model. The record is from RNAcentral.